AUUGAACGCUGGCGGCAGGCCUAACACAUGCAAGUCGAGCGAGUGGCGGACGGGUGAGUAAUGUCUGGGGAACUGCCCGAUGGAGGGGGAUAACUACUGGAAACGGUAGCUAAUACCGCAUACCAUCGGAUGUACCCAGAUGGGAUUAGCUAGUAGGUGGGGUAACGGCUUACCUAGGCGACGAUCCCUAGCUGGUCUGAGAGGAUGAUCAGCCACACUGGGAAUGAGACAGGGCGCAGACUCCUACGAGAGGCAGCAGUGGGGAAGUGUGCACAAUGGGCGCAAGCCUGAUGCAGCCAUUCCGGGUGUAUGAAGAAGGCCUUCGGGUUGUAAAGUACUUUCAGUCGGGAGGCGUUACCGACAGAAGAAGCACCGGCUAACUCCGUGCCAGCAGCCGCGGUAAUUC
RNAcentral lists this ribosomal RNA (406 nucleotides) under uncultured bacterium. RNAcentral describes it as "partial 16S ribosomal RNA". It matches the Rfam family "Bacterial small subunit ribosomal RNA", at positions 30 to 526 of the family's 1533-position model. The record is from RNAcentral.